GCGGAGAGGUGGCCGAGUGGCUGAAGGCACUCCCCUGCUAAGGGAGCAUAGGGUUUAUAGCUCUAUCGAGAGUUCGAAUCUCUUCCUCUCCGCC
Molecule: transfer RNA, 94 nt
Filed under: Dichelobacter nodosus
Lineage: Bacteria; Pseudomonadati; Pseudomonadota; Gammaproteobacteria; Cardiobacteriales; Cardiobacteriaceae
Description: tRNA-Ser
Rfam family: tRNA
About the family: Transfer RNA (tRNA) molecules are approximately 80 nucleotides in length.
Source: RNAcentral